Sturnus vulgaris (Common starling) is the source of this 4121-nucleotide non-coding RNA. The record is from RefSeq and is a predicted model, not a curated record. Lineage: Eukaryota; Metazoa; Chordata; Aves; Passeriformes; Sturnidae.
AAAGUUGUCAUCAACAAGAAAACUAAAACCUUUAAAAGAUAGGAAUUAGUAGUAGAAUGCUGAAACAAACUUCUGGAUUAGCUUCAUUGGCUUUCCUGCUUCUUUUGCAUCCCAAAGCAUAAACUGAAAUCGUCCCAGAAGGACAAGGUCCGCCAGUUUAUGGCAUUUACCCAGGCUGGUGAAAGGACUGCUAUAUACUGCUUAACACAGAAUGAAUGGAAACUAGAAGUGGCAACAGACAACUACUUCCAGAAUCCAGACUUGUACUACAAAGAAUCCAUGAAAAAUUCAGUAGACAAGAAGAAAUUAGAACAACUGUAUAAUCGAUACAAAGACCCACAAGAUGAAAAUAAAAUUGGCAUUGAUGGGAUUCAGCAGUUCUGUGAUGAUUUAAGCCUGGACCCAGCCAGUAUCAGUGUUCUGGUUGUGGCAUGGAAAUUCAGGGCAGCUACUCAGUGUGAAUUCAGUAAAAAGGAAUUUAUUGAUGGCAUGACAGAGUUGGGAUGUGACACCACAGAAAAGCUAAAAGCUUUAUUGCCAAGACUGGAACAAGAGCUAAAGGAUCCAGCAAAGUUCAAAGAUUUUUAUCAGUUUACUUUUAACUUUGCUAAAAAUCCUGGACAAAAAGGUCUAGUUGCCUGGGAUCAAGCAAGAGAUGAGAGAUGAGGAGGGCAUUCAGACUUGAAUCAAAUAUUACCUCAAGACCAGAAGAAUGACUAUCUUUGCAUCCGAUCUAGAAAUGGCGAUUGCAUACUGGAAUUUAGUCUUGUCAGGAAGGUUUAAAUUUUUAGAUCUUUGGAAUAAAUUUUUGUUGGAACAUCAUAAAAGAUCAAUUCCAAAAGAUACUUGGAAUCUUUUGUUAGAUUUUGGAAAUAUGAUUGCAGAUGAUAUGUCCAACUAUGAUGAAGAAGGAGCAUGGCCUGUUCUAAUAGAUGACUUUGUGGAAUAUGCACGACCAGUAGUCACAGGAGGAAAACAUAAAACUUCCUAACCCCAGAGCUGUUGAUAUGGACUAAAUGAACUGCACUGGGUAAUGAAGAUUUGUUAGCUGAUAACUGCACGUUGGUGCUGGUUUCAGUGGUCAUGAUGACAUUCUGCAGACAAAACUGAAAUUCCUCCUUUCUGCCUAAAGAAAAUGAUGACUGAUGUGUGGACACUUCAAACUCAGAAGAUCCAAGCUGUUUGUAGGCUAUUGGCUUCAAUUAUUGUACUGGUUGUAUCAUAUAGGAUGUAGAUUUUGCAUGAUUUUAUACUUUGGAGAAGUUUAACUAGAGGCCAUUUUAUUAAAGUUUUGACAGCACAGCAUGCCAUUCAGUUCAUAAUCCAAAGUGAACACCAGCAGUUACAUAAAUAAAAAUGUAUUAUAUUGUACUUAUAUUAAAAGCAGUAUUUGUGUUAUAUAAAUUAAAUCCAUAAAUAAAACUUGUGCAGUAUAUGUUGUAUUUUUAUAAAACUUAGUUCUGUGGAUCUGUCUUAAUACAGAAUUGUAAAAAAACCCAAACAAAUGAACAUAGGCCUUUUUUUUUGUUUGUUUUUAACUUAUUGCCAAAAUUUUAAAUUUGCAUUUUCACAUCCUAGAUGUCUACAGUGAUUACAUCCAACCUUUUGCUUUCUCCCAAUGAGUUUUUCUUCCUCAUUUUUCUUCUUGAAGUGCUUGGACAUGUAACAAUAGCAUUGCUGAGGACAGGCUGCUGCUCUAUGCUGUGUUGCAAAUCCAGCUUUUUUAGUAACCAUUUUAAAGUUGAUAUUAAACAACCAAAGAUGCUUUUAUAAUUCAUGUUAAAUUAUGAUAAUUUAGUUAGUGUCCAAUUACGUGUUUUAUUUAUUUUUAAUCAGUAACUGGUGGACUAUGGAUUUUAUUUGUAGCUUGAAACAUAUCAUAAAUUCUAGCUAAAUGCAACAUGGUUGUAAAUUCAUUUCCUGGCACUUCUCAUGGAAAAGAGAUGUGAAUAAGCCCAAAGACUUAACUAGUUUGCUUCCAUGGUGGAGAAAUAGUUAGGGAUAAGGAGACUUUAUAUUAAUAAGUCUUCAUGCCUGUGGAUGUAUUGUGCAUUCAGUUGUAUUUAUUUAAGGGGAGGAAAAAGCAAAUUAAUACAGCUUCAGCGAUCUCAAAGCUGGUGAAAUUGGACCAGUUUUCAUCAGAUCUGAAUUUGUUCACUCACUUCUUUCUCCCCUUUUGCUAGCUAGUGAUUAUGAAAAGCAUAGAGGUGUCAGUCUUUUGUUUCUCAUCAGUGUCUUCCGAUGUCUAAGCACAAAAAACUUUUACCAGAAACUAUUCAGCACGUCUUCACACAGGGCUCUUGCAAAUGCUACCUCAUCAAAGUGAGUUUGUCAUAGCCACUGUAAAAGUUUGUUAAAAUGAAGAAUUGCUAAAGAAUAUGUACAGCUAUGAUCAAUAUAUUUUCUGUAUUUAAAGCUGAAUAGAUGCAAGAAUUUUGGAGAAAAUAGUGCAUUAAGUUAUAUAGUUUAUAUCUGUUUGGGUCAUUGAAGUGUUGCAUGACAGCAGACUAUUUUAUUUGGUAAUUGCCAGGGUAUAAAAGCUUACAAUAUUCUUUUAAGCUCUAAUAUUUAGAGUUUCAUACAAGCAGUCAGCUUUCAUUAUGUCAACACAACCUGCAAGGACAAGUGUCCGUGCUGCAUACAGAGACUGCCUUCAUUCUUCCACUUGAUAGAAUUUCAGUUGUGCAUGAUGUUGAAAAAGCAGGACGAGGGAAAAUUUGAACAAAUUAGUGAUUUUUCCUCCUAGUAAGAGCCUAGCGAGCAAGUGACAAAUGCCCUGUGAGUGAUUUGUUAUGAAUAUCUGUCUUUUUGUUGUGAGUGCCAGCCCUGGCCAAGCAGCCGCCAGGUGUCAGCGUCUGAGCCCGGUGCUCGUGUGCAGAGUUACCCACUGAGGUUAUGCCGAAUUAUUGCUUUCUGACCUCGUCUUUUUAGAAGGGCAUUUGUAACUCCAAGUAUACUACAGAAGUCAGCAGAGAGCUAGAAGGAGCUAUGCUCUUUUUACUGCAUUUGAUUUAUCUAUGCCUCCUCCCCAAAACAAGCCAUUUCUAUAUCUGUCCUGCAGGCUUUGCAGAAUGUGUAACAUCUUACAGCAUCAAGUGCAUUUACCUAUUCAGAAGCAGUGGAAUGCUUGUUACUCACACAAUUGCCACUUAAAAUGUAUAGAUAAAACAUAACUGACCAGAAGUAGCUUAAUCUAUUGAUAUGUGAUGUAACUGAACUUUCAUAGCACUAGAGCUUGUGAAACAUUUGCUCAUGAUGAGAGCUCCAUCAAAUCAUUCUGAUGAACCUUCUACCUUUUAAAAUAAAUAGAGCAUAAAAAAUGCAUGAGGGUUGAAGUUAUUUUUCCCUGUUAAUCGGAGCAAGAAGGAAGGUUCCUAGCCCAGGAUUCAGUGUGUGUGCAUAUAUAUAUAUACAUAUAAAUACACACACACGUUUACUCUUAAACCUCAUUCCUGGGGGGGAUCCUUCGUGGGUGACAGCUUCCAGCAGAGCAGGACUGGGCAAAAAUAGUACAAAGAUGGUAGUUGAUCCUUGUCAGCCAGCUUUUAUGUUUGCUCGGCUUUUCCUUUUUCUUCUGUUCUUCCUGAUCUUCUACCUGUUUUAAACCACAUGUGAUUUUUACAUUUCCAUACAUAAUAGCAUGAAGUAACACCUUAACACUUGAAGUCAUUAAAAAUGCAAAUAAGCUGCUUUCAACUUACAAGUUUCUUAUAUAUUUUAAUAAUUUGCUGCUGUCCAUAGUUCCAUUUUACAGGGUACUCUGACUUCCAUUAUAAGUAAGCUGAUACAGUGGUAACACCUAGGCUGCUCAAUUUAUAAUCCUAAAUGGUACAGAUGUCUUCAAGUUGUUCAGUGCGUACAGUAUUACUUCACAGAUACGCUGUAUGUAUUUUUAAACUUGGUGCCAAGUUGUUUGGUUUGAAACUGAGCCAUAGUAUUUGUACUUGCCAAUUCUAAAUUUAAAUGUGAUUUAUCAUGUGUGUCAUGCCAAGGAGAGCAAACCUGCAGGCAUCUGCUCAUUCAAUGCACCUGGAAGAUUUGCUGCUGAGUAAGCUGUACGUGUGUGUAUAUUUUUUGGCAAUGGAAAAAGGAAUAAAUGGACUGUCAAAGGAUUGAAGUCA